RNAcentral lists this unclassified non-coding RNA (223 nucleotides) under Hevea brasiliensis (rubber tree). The record is from RNAcentral. Lineage: Eukaryota; Viridiplantae; Streptophyta; Magnoliopsida; Malpighiales; Euphorbiaceae.
GAUGAAUUCCACAAUUCUGCGUACUAUACAUAACCAUCUGACUGGUAUCAGUAGAGUAGUUCAGCAUGGUAAUAAUUGCACCUUCGUUGAUGUCCUUCUUUUUAAUAUCACCAAUGCCUGAAUACUUCUCAGCAACGUUGCCAAUACCUUUGGAGAAGUAAUCAACUGAAAACAUAUGAAUCAAACCAUCACAAGAACCAACAACAACUUGAGCAGACCCCCG